GACGAACGCUGGCGGCGUGCUUAACACAUGCAAGUCGUACGGUAAGGCCCUUUCGGGGGUACACGAGUGGCGAACGGGUGAGUAACACGUGAGUAACCUGCCCACAACUUUGGGAUAACGCUAGGAAACUGGUGCUAAUACUGGAUAUGUGCUCCUGCUGCAUGGUGGGGGUUGGAAAGCUCCGGCGGUUGUGGAUGGACUCGCGGCCUAUCAGCUUGUUGGUGGGGUAGUGGCCUACCAAGGCGGCGACGGGUAGCCGGCCUGAGAGGGUGACCGGCCACAGUGGGACUGAGAGACGGCCCAGACACCGACGGGAGGCAGCAGGGGGGAAUAUUGCACAAUGGGCGCAAGCCUGAUGCAGCAACGCCGCGGGCGGGAUGACGGCCUUCGGGUUGUAAACCGCUUUCAGCAGGGACGAAGCUUUUUGUGACGGUACCUGCAGAAGAAGCACCGGCUAACUACGUG
RNAcentral lists this ribosomal RNA (465 nucleotides) under uncultured bacterium. Its description in RNAcentral is "partial 16S ribosomal RNA". It matches the Rfam family "Bacterial small subunit ribosomal RNA", at positions 28 to 507 of the family's 1533-position model. The record is from RNAcentral.